UGAGUGAAGGCCAUGUUGAGUGAAGGCCAUGCUGAGCGAAGGCCAUGCUGAGUGAAGACCAUGCUGAGUGAAGGCCAUGCUGAGUGAAGGCUGUGUUGAGUGAAGGCUGUGUUGAGUGAAGGCCAUGCUGAAUGAAGGCCAUAUUGAGUGAAGGCCAUGCUGAGUGAAGGCUGUGUUGAGUGAAGGCCAUGCUGAGUGAAGACCAUAUUGAGUGAAGGCCAUGCUGAGUGAAGGCCGUAUUGAGUGAAGGCCAUGCUGAGCUGAAACUCCAGGCUGCUGCUCAAGAGAAGAGCUGUCAGGAGCCCUGGCAGCCACUCCAGGAUUGACGUGGCGUUCCAUUGCAGUCGCUGCACCUCCAUCCGUGGGAUGUGCAGCUCUAAUUAGCAAAGCCUUGAGGUGAGUUGGGAAUGUUUAAUCUCAAUCUUUUUUCUUCUUCUUUUUUUAUUUCCUUUCUCUUCUUUGCCGUGAAGCAGCCUCUCAAAGACUCGAUGAAAUCUGCAUUAUGAGUUAAGGGGAAACUGGAAGUGCCAAGAGUUCAAAUUAAUCUUUUCAUUACUUUGUGUAAAUUGAGUGAACUUUUGAAUUGCAUUAAUACACAAACUAAUCUCCUCU
Molecule: long non-coding RNA, 612 nt
Filed under: Gallus gallus (chicken)
Lineage: Eukaryota; Metazoa; Chordata; Aves; Galliformes; Phasianidae
Description: lncRNA (ENSGALG00010004261.1)
Source: RNAcentral